This 503-nucleotide ribosomal RNA is filed under the name uncultured bacterium. Its description in RNAcentral is "bacterial SSU rRNA". It matches the Rfam family "Bacterial small subunit ribosomal RNA", at positions 28 to 521 of the family's 1533-position model. The record is from RNAcentral.
GAUGAACGCUAGCGGCAGGCUUAAUACAUGCAAGUCGAGGGGGAUCAGUUGGGUAGCAAUACCUGGCUGUGAGACCGGCAAACGGGUGAGGAACACGUACGCAACUUUCUCAAAACUGGUGAAUAGCCCUCCGAAAGGAGGAUUAAUACACCGUAACAUAACGAAAUGGCAUCAUUUUGUUAUUAUAGCAGCAAUGCGGUUUUGGAUAGGCGUGCGCCUGAUUAGGUAGUUGGCGGGGUAACGGCCCACCAAGCCUACGAUCAGUAACUGGUGUGAGAGCACGACCAGUCACACGGGCACUGAGACACGGGCCCGACUCCUACGGGAGGCAGCAGUAAGGAAUAUUGGUCAAUGGACGAAAGUCUGAACCAGCCAUGCCGCGUGAAGGAUGAAGGGGCUCUGCCUUGUAAACUUCUUUUGCAUGGGACGAAAAAACUUAUUUAUUAAGGACUGACGGUACCAUGAGAAUAAGCACCGGCUAACUCCGUGCCAGCAGCCGCGGU